CUGCAGCUCAAGUGGUGGCCGCUAUUAUUGGGCCUAAAACGUCCGUAGCCGGUUUAGUAAAUGCCUGGGUAAAUCGUGUAGCUUAACUAUACGACUUCCGGGUAGACUGCUAGACUUGGGACCGGGAGAGGCUAGAGGUACUCCUGGGGUAGAGGUGAAAUUCUGUAAUCCUAGGGGGACCACCAGUGGCGAAGGCGUCUGGCUAGAACGGGUCUGACGGUGAGGGACGAAGCCCUGGGGCGCAAACCGGAUUAGAUACCCGAGUAGUCC
RNAcentral lists this ribosomal RNA (270 nucleotides) under uncultured archaeon. Its description in RNAcentral is "partial 16S ribosomal RNA". It matches the Rfam family "Archaeal small subunit ribosomal RNA", at positions 477 to 747 of the family's 1478-position model. The record is from RNAcentral.